UACAGAGGGUGCAAGCGUUGUUCGGAAUUACUGGGCGUAAAGGGCGCGUAGGCGGCUUAGCAAGUCAGAUGUGAAAUCCCGGGGCUUAACUCCGGAAGUGCAUUUGAAACUGCUAGGCUAGAGUGCAGUAGAGGUUGGUGGAAUACCUAGUGUAGAGGUGAAAUUCGUAGAUAUUAGGUGGAACACCAAUGGCGAAGGCAGCUCGCUGGGACGGUACUGACGCUGAGACGCGAAAGCGUGGGGAGCAAACAGG
RNAcentral lists this ribosomal RNA (253 nucleotides) under uncultured bacterium. Its description in RNAcentral is "partial 16S ribosomal RNA". It matches the Rfam family "Bacterial small subunit ribosomal RNA", at positions 524 to 776 of the family's 1533-position model. The record is from RNAcentral.